GAAUGACAUGGUCUGACUUGUAGUUUUGAAAUGAUCAUUCUCAUUCUUGUAUGGAAAUAAUAUUGUCGGACCCCAGAAUUAAAGCAGAGGCCCAGAGAGAAGGUUGUUUCUUUAGCCCAAGGAAGAAAUUAUCUUUCCUUUCACUCUUUCAGUGGUAAUAGAGAUGGAAGAAAUAGAAUCCUGAUAUAUAUCAGAUAUAAAAUUGGAAUCAAUGGAGGAUGCAUUCAAUAAGCUGAAAGAAGGAAAGAUGAAAUUUAAACAUGACUCCUAGAGGUUUUUACUUGAACAACUAUGUGAUUAAUAGAUCCAUUUGCAAAGAUUGUGAAGACAGACUGAAUUUGGAUACCAAAAGCUUGCAUCUGGCUUCUCUAAUGAUCCACAGUAGAAAAAAGAUAGCAGAAACCAUAGUCCUGUAGAAACUCCUACACGGAGUAUGUAUAAGACUGUGUUAGGGUUUCCUAGAGAAGCAGAACCAAAUGUAUGUACAAUGUGUGUAUGUCUCUCUCUGUGUGUGUGCAUGCCUGUGUAUUUAGGUGUGUGUGUGUAUGUAUAAAAUAGAUAUCCUAUUUUAGAUAUAUGCAUAUAUGAGAAUAUACUCUUACAUGUGUAUCCCAUUUUAAUAUACAUACAUGUAUAUUAAAGAGAGGAAGAGAGACAGAGAUGGAUAAGUAGAUAUUGAUUUUGUAUAAGGGUAUUUGUAUAUUAGUAUAUUAGAUAAUGAGAUGGGUCUGCUAUCUGCAAGCUGGAUAUCCAGAAAAGCCAGUGAUGUAGUUCAGUCUGAGACUGACUUCCUGAGAACCAGGCAAGCUAAUGGCAUAAGUUCCUACCUGAGGGCCAGAGAACAUGAGAUAGAUAACCUGGCUCAAGAAGAAAGGCAGAAAGCAAAAGAAUCAAAUGAGUCCUUCCUGUUGUUUAGGCCCUUGGUGGAGCUACAUGAUGCCCACCUAGACCAUGGGAGACAGCACACUGAAUUCAAGGAUUCAAAGGUUAACAUCACCUAGAAACACCCACACCGAUUCAUCCAGAAAUAACAUUUAAUCUAGGGACCCUGGGCACAGCUAAGUUGAUACAUAAAAUUAAUCUUCUCAGUGACCAUCCCAAGCAUGCUACUACAUUUUGAUUUUCUGUAGGUCAAUUACUGAGUCAAAAAAGGUCACAAGACACAUCAUGAUUCAUCUUAGAGAAGAUGUAGUUAGACUGAUUAUUUUGUAUUUUCUAGUUUUCAAAAGACGAAAAACAAAUAGAGGUUCUAUUUCAUUCAACAAGUUCAUUCUUGGCUGGGGUAUGAGGGAUUCGGUCACUGGAAAUGUUUCUUAGUGAUUAUGAAGAAAUUAUUAUGAAACAUUAUCUAUGCUUACAAAAAUGUAAGGAAAAGCACAUGUAGCAUUAUAUGUAAAUGUGACACAUUGUCCAGGAAGCAUUCCUAAGCUAAUCCUUUCUCUUUGAAAUGAAUGCCAAUCCUAAAAGAAAAAAACAAAAACAAAAAACUUUUGGUAUUUGAGGUUUAGUUAUGUUUAAAAACUAAAAUUUGGGCUGGGGAUGUGGCUCAAGUGGUAGCGCGCUCGCCUGGCAUGCGUGCGGCCCGGGUUCGAUCCUCAGCACCACAUACAGACAAAGAUGUUGUGUCCUCCAAA
Molecule: long non-coding RNA, 1634 nt
Filed under: Marmota monax (woodchuck)
Lineage: Eukaryota; Metazoa; Chordata; Mammalia; Rodentia; Sciuridae
Source: RNAcentral